Molecule: unclassified non-coding RNA, 203 nt
Filed under: Hevea brasiliensis (rubber tree)
Lineage: Eukaryota; Viridiplantae; Streptophyta; Magnoliopsida; Malpighiales; Euphorbiaceae
Source: RNAcentral
AUUAUUAUGUUCUCUUUAUCUUGCUAACUUAUAUACAUGUAUAUAUACACUGAACAACUUGAUAAAAAGCUGCAUAACACAAAAUACAAUUUGAAAAUUUGACAAUAUAAAUAAAUAACAUCAACAGGAAAAAAAAAGAAGAAAGUCAUAUAAAUCCAUGGUUAUAGUCCUAGCAUAACUUAUUUUGUAAAAAAGAAAAAAAA